AAAUAGAUUUAGCUUACAAGCAACUUUAUAUAGGAUAAAAAAUAGGUUUUAUGCCUUGAUAUUGACCAAACCACUUGUAUAUUUGAUGGCUUAACUAUGUGAAACAUGAAGAACCUCCAGUUCCCCUGAACAUUUACAUCUUCCAUGUUUAAGUUUAUCAAAAGUUUCUCUACCUCUGGGUUAGUUUCUCAAUUAUUUUCUUCCAUAAUUUUAAUAUUAAAAUAAAUUUUAACCUUAAUUAUGGAAGUCUCCAUACAUUAAAACUAAAACCUUUUAUUUAUAUAUGUAUUUUACAAAUAUAUAUUUAGUCCACUUUUGAAUGGUUCUAGGUGACAUAACGUGUAGUGUAGUAAAAUAUAAAAUAUAAUACAGUAUGUUUAUUUACUUACUAUAAUUGGAAGUUAUACUACAAUAGCCACAAUAAAGUCACAGCACAAAUGAAAUUUUUUUCCAGUCCAACCGUGGUUGGCUAUGUUGAUAUCUCUAUAUUAGUUCAUAUAAUGAAUUUGGUUUGUAGUAUCUGGUAGAGAGCUCAUUUACUUAGCUUAAAAUUCAAGAUGGAGAAGAACUUGGAAGGUGAAAGAACAUAAUCCCUGUUAUAUGUAAAGUUCAUUUGUAUAUAAAGCUAUAGAAUUAAAUAAUUUUACAAGACCAAUGAAAAAUGGGGAAGCUAAAAGAAAAAGAGGAUAUUUGUGGCACACACCUGCAUAUUGUAAAAAGGAAUAUAUGGCCAUGAAUUUUGACAUGAAAAUGUUUUAUAUUUAGUUUGCUAUAAAAAAAUAAGAGAACUAUUGAAUUACCUUUUGGCUUAGAGUUGUAUGUAUGUGUGUAUCUUUGUUGUGUUUUUGCAGUCAAAUGGACUUGAACCUCGAGAAAGUUUAGCUCAAGACUUGGGCAUUUUAGAACCUAAAGCUCUAGUAGAUGGGCCCUUGCUACUAGAAGUGGUCAGAAGAUGUCAGCAGAAAAAAGGCUUUUCUAACAGUGGAGACGUAGCUCCAGUAAUAUCUGAAAAUGUACAUUCACCUCCAAAAUCAUCAGAUGAAAGGUCUAACAUACUUUCAGUGCCAAGUAAGACAUGAAGAAAUCCGUGACUUUGCGAAUAAAUGGAUAUUAGAAAGAAAAGAAGUACUUCAGAGGACAUCAGGACGGAUGCCUCUUUUUACACCCCCCUCCGGAUGGAGUUGGGGCUGGGUAGUCGUGGCGGCGGCGG
This is a long non-coding RNA of Thamnophis elegans (Western terrestrial garter snake), 1210 nucleotides long. RefSeq lists it as uncharacterized. NCBI's taxonomy places the organism in Eukaryota, Metazoa, Chordata, Lepidosauria, Squamata, Natricidae. The transcript is spliced from 3 exons. The record is from RefSeq and is a predicted model, not a curated record.